CUUAAUGACGUUUAGCACAAUCAUUUCUGGGACGAUAUAUCAUCCACAAAAAAUCUUAUUGUGACAGGUCUAUAGAGAGCUGUAGAGCGAGGCAGUGUGAGAUACAAUGAGGUAUAGUAAGGUAGAGAGAUGUAGACUAAAGUUGAGAGAUGUAGAGAGAUGGUAGAAUGAGAUAAAUAUAUAGUGGAAUGAGUUAGAGUGAGGUAGAAAGAGGUAGAGUCAGGAAGAGUGAGGUAGAGAGAUGGUAGAAUGAGGUAGAGAGAUGUAGAGUCAGGAAUAGUGAGGUAGAGAGAUGGUAGAAUGAGGUAGAGUGAGGUAGAGAGAGGUAGAGAGAUGUCGAGUCAGGAAUAGUGAGGUAGAGAGAUGGUAGAAUGAGGUAGAGUGAGGUAGAGUGAGGUAAAAAGAUGGUAGAAUGAGGUAGAGAGAUGGUAGAAUGAGGUAGAGUGAGGCAGAGAGAUGGUAGAAAGAGUUAGAGUGAGGUAGAGAGAUGGUAGAAUGAGGUAGAGUGAGGUAGAGAGAUGGUAGAAUGAGGUAUAGAGAUGGUAGAAUGAGGUAGAGUGAGGCAGAGAGAUGGUAGAAAGAGUUAGAGUGAGGUAGAGAGAUUGUAAAAAAGAGUUAGAGUGAGGUAGAGAGAUGGUAGAAAAAGUUAGAGUGAGGUAGAAUGAAGUAGAGUGAGGUAGAGAGAGGUAGAGAGAUGGUAGAAUGAGGUAGAGAGAUGUCGAGUCAGGAAUAGUGAGGUAGAGAGAUGGUAGAAUGAGGUAGAGUGAGGUAGAGAGAUGUAGAGUGAGGUAGAGAGAUGUAGAGUGAGGUAAAAGAUGGUAGAAUGAGGUAGAGUGAGGUAGAGAGAUUGUAGGAAGAGUUAGAGUGAGGUAGAGAGAUGUAGAGUGAGGUAGAGUGAGGUAAAAAGAUGGUAGAAUGAGGUAGAGUAAGGUAGAGUGAUGUAGACUAAUGUAGAGUGAGGUAAAAUGAGGUAGAGGCAUGUAGAGUGAGGUAGAGAGAUGGUAGAAUGAGGUAGAGUGAGGUAGAGAGAUGGUAGAAAGAGUUAGAGUGAGGUAGAGAGAUGUAGAGUGAGGUAAAAAGAUGGUAGAAUGAGGUAGAGUGAUGUAGAGAGAUGUAGAGUGAGGUAAAAUGAGGUACAGGCAUGAAGAGUGAGGUAGAGAGAUGUAGAUUAAAGUAAAGUGAGGUGGAAAGAUGGUAGAAUGACCCUCAUCCUACCUCACUCUACCUUGCUUUACCUUGUUCUACUCUGCUCUACCUCACUCUGCCUCCAGUCUAGUGAAGUCACAUGACAACAGUCUGCAGUGUUAAGAGCUCCCCCUGUUGCUGCUCAGAGGUAAUGCAGUUUGAGGUUUCUGGUAUACUUAUAAUCGGAUUAUUGUGAAAACGUUUAUUGCAGUAGUGCAAAUU
Molecule: long non-coding RNA, 1407 nt
Organism: Astyanax mexicanus (Mexican tetra)
Lineage: Eukaryota; Metazoa; Chordata; Actinopteri; Characiformes; Acestrorhamphidae
Exons: 3
Source: RefSeq, a predicted model, not a curated record